RNAcentral lists this ribosomal RNA (481 nucleotides) under uncultured bacterium. Its description in RNAcentral is "partial 16S ribosomal RNA". It matches the Rfam family "Bacterial small subunit ribosomal RNA", at positions 28 to 507 of the family's 1533-position model. The record is from RNAcentral.
GAUGAACGCUGGCGGCGUGCUUAACACAUGCAAGUCGAACGAAGCACUUUAUUUGAUUUCCUUCGGGACUGAUUAUUUUGUGACUGAGUGGCGGACGGGUGAGUAACGCGUGGGUAACCUGCCUUGUACAGGGGGAUAACAGUUGGAAACGGCUGCUAAUACCGCAUAAGCGCACGGCAUCGCAUGAUGCAGUGUGAAAAACUCCGGUGGUAUAAGAUGGACCCGCGUUGGAUUAGCUAGUUGGUGAGGUAACGGCCCACCAAGGCGACGAUCCAUAGCCGAACUGAGAGGGUGACCGGCAACAUUGGGACUGAGACACGGCCCAAACUCCUACGGGAGGCAGCAGUGGGGAAUAUUGCACAAUGGGCGAAAGCCUGAUGCAGCGACGCCGCGUGAGCGAAGAAGUAUUUCGGUAUGUAAAGCUCUAUCAGCAGGGAAGAUAAUGACGGUACCUGACGAAGAAGCACCGGCUAAAUACGUG